This 253-nucleotide ribosomal RNA is filed under the name uncultured bacterium. Its description in RNAcentral is "partial 16S ribosomal RNA". It matches the Rfam family "Bacterial small subunit ribosomal RNA", at positions 524 to 776 of the family's 1533-position model. The record is from RNAcentral.
GACAGAGGGUGCAAACGUUGUUCGGAAUUACUGGGCGUAAAGCGCGUGUAGGCAGUUUCGCAAGUCGGGUGUGAAAGCCCUGGGCUCAACCUAGGAAGUGCACUCGAAACUGCGAGACUUGAGUCCUGGAGAGGAAGGCGGAAUUCUCGGUGUAGAGGUGAAAUUCGUAGAUAUCGAGAGGGACACCGGUGGCGAAGGCGGCCUUCUGGACAGUGACUGACGCUGAGACGCGAAAGCGUGGGGAGCAAACAGG